GGCUAACUGGGCCAAGUGGCCCAGAGGUUUUUUUUCCUUUUUGUGCUUUUGUCUUUUGUUUUUCUUAUAAUUAGUUUUUGUUUAAUAGUUUUCUAUUUUAUUUUCUAUAAAUUUGAGUUUUAUAAAAUAUAAAAAAACACAUAAAUUUAUGUUACUAAAUAUGCUACAUCAAUAAAAACUUUGGCAUUAAACAAAAUAGUUUGUAAUCUUGUAAUUUAUAAAAGGCAUUUAAUUAAUUGUUUUUGUCAUUGUUUAAUUUAUUUUUGAGCAUUUAAACAUUUUAGAAAAAUGUGGUUUAUUUAUCAGAAAUAUCCAUGAUUUAUUUGUCACAGUUUGCACAUUUUAUUUUUGACUUUAUUUUAAAUUUGAAUUUAAACCGGUUUUGAAUCAACGUGAUUUCUAUCAACAGUAAAAGCGAUGACCUGGCAACAUUAAAAGGGGAUUACUGUAGUUUAAUUAUCCGGGCGUUACAUGGACACAUGGCAAAUUUAGCAUGAUUUGUUUUGUUUUUCCCCAAAAUCUUGGCAAAUUUGCCAUGUGAACACAAUUUAGGUUGCCAUUGUGUCAAAUAGAACCUCAAUUAGACAAAAUCCAGUACAUGUACAUAACCAGAAAAAUCGGGUGGCUCAGUCACUCUGAAAGAAUAUGUGGUACAAGCAACAUCUCACCAGGCCGAAUCGGUGAUGCGCGGACCACACGAGGAGUCGUUGCCGCUGAAGCUCGCACACUGGGUGCGGCAGUGAGCGGCGCAGCGGUUGGGGAAGACGGCGACCGACGUCUGCCGCUAGAACGGGGUGCUGAUCUAGAGGAUAGCUGGUCGGGCGCGGCGUUCCCGGCGACGGACGGUGGCGGGAAGCACCAGAUCAAAGCUCCAUGGUGGCCUGUGUGCGAGAUAGAGAGAAGGUGAGAGAGUAGGUGGAGAAAGGAUAAGAAAACAUAGGAGGCAUAGCGCCACCACGACGGCGACAAGAAUCGAGCGCCGUCCUCGAGCUGCUUCUCUCCAUGUCGUUCGCCGUCAACAAUUUCUCCUCCGAAAUCUCGCUGCCGCCGGGUGUGGAGAUGAGGAAGGAGGAGGAGAAAGGAAGAAGACGAGUGUAGCGAGGCCUCACCGACGAGCUGCGGCUGCUCGAUAUGUCCAUCGGGAGGCUUGGUGCGGCGACGGAGAAAACCCAUCAACGAGCAGCUCGUCUCUCCCUCUUUGUGAGGAUGACCGCGAAAAAUGGAACCGAAAUGAUAGUGCCAAGAGGGGAGUGAAUAAGGUGGCGGUUGACUUGUCGUGAACGCGCGCCCGCGCGGGCGCGUCCCUACGACGAACGAACUGGAAACGUGACCUAGCAACCAGAUGUGCUUCAAGAUUCGCGCAAAUGAUCUGACGGCAAUUGAUGUGUUAGCCCUAGAAACCUAAA
This 1406-nucleotide long non-coding RNA is filed under the name Triticum aestivum (bread wheat). RNAcentral's name for it is "long non-coding RNA (TAES_LNC008602)". Lineage: Eukaryota; Viridiplantae; Streptophyta; Magnoliopsida; Poales; Poaceae. The record is from RNAcentral.